This 292-nucleotide ribosomal RNA is filed under the name uncultured bacterium. RNAcentral's name for it is "partial 16S ribosomal RNA". It matches the Rfam family "Bacterial small subunit ribosomal RNA", at positions 505 to 796 of the family's 1533-position model. The record is from RNAcentral.
GUGCCAGCCGCCGCGGUAAUACGGAGGGUGCAAGCGUUGUCCGGAAUCACUGGGCGUAAAGGGCGCGUAGGCGGCUCGGUAAGUAGGGGGUGAAAUCCUGCGGCUUAACCGCAGGGCUGCCUUCUAAACUGUCGAGCUCGAGCACGGUAGAGGCAGAUGGAAUUCCCGGUGUAGCGGUGGAAUGCGUAGAGAUCGGGAAGAACAUCAGUGGCGAAGGCGGUCUGCUGGGCCGUUGCUGACGCUGAGGCGCGACAGCGUGGGGAGCAAACAGGAUUAGAAACCCCCGUAGUCC